RNAcentral lists this transfer RNA (74 nucleotides) under Methanobacteriota archaeon. Its description in RNAcentral is "Euryarchaeota archaeon tRNA-Arg". It matches the Rfam family "tRNA". Rfam says of the family: Transfer RNA (tRNA) molecules are approximately 80 nucleotides in length. Their secondary structure includes four short double-helical elements and three loops (D, anti-codon, and T loops). Further hydrogen bonds mediate the characteristic L-shaped molecular structure. tRNAs have two regions of fundamental functional importance: the anti-codon, which is responsible for specific mRNA codon recognition, and the 3' end, to which the tRNAs corresponding amino acid is attached (by aminoacyl-tRNA synthetases). tRNAs cope with the degeneracy of the genetic code in two manners: having more than one tRNA (with a specific anti-codon) for a particular amino acid; and 'wobble' base-pairing, i.e. permitting non-standard base-pairing at the 3rd anti-codon position. Lineage: Archaea; Methanobacteriati; Methanobacteriota. The record is from RNAcentral.
GGACCCAUGGUGUAGCCUGGAUAUCACUGGGGCUUGCGGAGCCUCAAACCCGUGUUCGAAUCGCGGUGGGUCCG